UACGGGGGGGGGCAAGCGUUGUCCGGAAUCAUUGGGCGUAAAGAGCGCGUAGGCGGCCCUGUAAGUCCGCUGUGAAAGUCAAGGGCUCAACCCUUGGAUGCCGGUGGAUACUGCAGGGCUAGAGUCCGGAAGAGGCGAGUGGAAUUCCUGGUGUAGCGGUGAAAUGCGCAGAUAUCGGGAGGAACACCAAUGGCGAAGGCAGCUCGCUGGGACGUGACUGACGCUGAGACGCGAAAGCGUGGGGAGCAAACAGG
RNAcentral lists this ribosomal RNA (254 nucleotides) under uncultured bacterium. Its description in RNAcentral is "partial 16S ribosomal RNA". It matches the Rfam family "Bacterial small subunit ribosomal RNA", at positions 524 to 776 of the family's 1533-position model. The record is from RNAcentral.